RNAcentral lists this ribosomal RNA (253 nucleotides) under uncultured bacterium. RNAcentral's name for it is "partial 16S ribosomal RNA". It matches the Rfam family "Bacterial small subunit ribosomal RNA", at positions 524 to 776 of the family's 1533-position model. The record is from RNAcentral.
UACGUAGGGUGCGAGCGUUGUCCGGAAUUAUUGGGCGUAAAGAGCUCGUAGGCGGUCUGUCGCGUCUGCUGUGAAAAUCCGGGGCUCAACCCCGGACUUGCAGUGGGUACGGGCAGACUAGAGUGUGGUAGGGGAGACUGGAAUUCCUGGUGUAGCGGUGAAAUGCGCAGAUAUCAGGAGGAACACCGAUGGCGAAGGCAGGUCUCUGGGCCAUAACUGACGCUGAGAAGCGAAAGCAUGGGGAGCGAACAGG